RNAcentral lists this ribosomal RNA (2928 nucleotides) under Pseudonectria foliicola. Its description in RNAcentral is "bacterial LSU rRNA". The stretch from base 902 to 1985 matches the Rfam family "Bacterial large subunit ribosomal RNA", at positions 573 to 2043 of the family's 2925-position model. The record is from RNAcentral. Lineage: Eukaryota; Fungi; Ascomycota; Sordariomycetes; Hypocreales; Nectriaceae.
AAAGUUACUCCUUGACCCAUGUUUGGUAUGAGACAAACACUAAGCUGUCGGCUUUUCUUAAUUAUAUAAUAACAUCAAGUCACAAAAAAAAACUUUAUAUUAAAUAAUGGAGCGACAGCUCCUAUAAAAAGCUAUGAAGCAACUAUAUUAAAUAAAAAUACCAUUUUACUAGAUAAUAAAGGUAAACCUGGUAUUUAUCGUUGAAUUAAUAAAUUAAAUAAUAAUACUUAUGUAGGUAGUGGUUUAAACUUAUCUAAAAGAAUAAGUGAAUACUACAAUAAAAGUGAACUAGAAAGAAAUACUAGACCUAUACAUGCUGCUUUACUAAAAUAUGGAUACGAUAAUUUCAUAUUGGAAAUAUUAGAAUAUUGCAGAGCAGAUGAGCUUAUUAAAAGAGAACAGUAUUAUUUAGAUACAUUAAAUCCUGAAUAUAACAUAUUAAAAUAUGCUUAUUCAUUAUUAGGGUAUAAACAUACCCCUGAGAACAUAGCGAAAUUUAAGCUAAAAAAAGUUUCACAAGAACUUAAAGAUAUAUUAUCUUCAGUACAUUCUGGAAAAGAAGUUAGCCAGGAGACUAGAGAUAAAUUAUCUAUAGCUAUAACUAACUAUAAAAAAAAUAAUCCUCUUUCACAGGAAGCUUUAGCUAAUAUUACAGCUAAAACUGUAGAACGUGAAGGAGUACCAGUGAUACUUUUAAAUACUCAAACUAAUGAAGAAUUAGAGUUUCCUACUUUAACUAAAGCAGGGGAAUAUUUGAGUAUAAAAAGACAAGCUAUACGAAACGCAAUAAAAAGAAAAAGUCUUGUUAAAGGACUAUAUCUUGUUUCAGAAAAAUAAAGUAGGCAGUAAUACUUCACACACAUAAGUACUAGUAUAAUAAAAAAAGAUAAAAAUUACUUUAAUUUCAAUAAUUAAAUUAUUGAAAUCAGAUUUAUAGAUAAUCUGUUGUCUAAAUGGAUAGUUCAUACAGAAUAUGAACUGUUUAGGGAGAAAGUUUAAGCUUAUUUAGUACAUAAGCUAAAUUUCCGUGUAUGUCAAAAGGGAAACAGCCCAGAACAAGAGUUAAGGUUCCUAAAUUAUUAGUUGAGUGAAAUUAAGAAGGUUUUUAUUAAAGUCGACAAGGAGAUAGGCUUAGAAGCAGCCAUAAUUUUAUGACCUCGUAACAGAGCGCUUGUUAAAUUUUAAAAGCAUCGAAAAUUUACCGGAUCUAAACAAUAUACCGAAACCUUGUCCAUAAAGUUUUAUAAUGAAAAUUAUAUUAUAAUUUAAUGGGGUAGCAGAACGUUGAGCUAAAUUAUGAUUUUUAUUAUUUUAAUAAAAUUAUAUUAUUUAACUCAAGUGAGAAUGGUGACAUGAGUAACUAAAAGAAAAUUUUCCGCCUAAAGCUUAUGGAUGUAAUUAAGUAACGGCCUCUAAGUUUAUAUUAUCUAAAGAUUUAAACGAUGAGAUAAUCUUUAUUACUAAGGACGACAUUUAAAGUGAUAAAUGUACUGGAAAAAUAGUAAUAUAUUUAUUAAUUGAUGCUGCUAUGAAAUAUAGCAAGCUCUAAUAAAUGAAAAGUAACCGUACCUAGAAUCUGAAACAAGUAAGCUAGUAGAGAAUACGAAGGCGUAAAUGAGCUAACAAUCAUAAAGGAACUCGGCAAAUUGACUACCGUAACUUCGGGAUAAGGAGAGCUCAUUCUUUUUGAUUAAUAUCAAAUAAAGAUGAAGAAGCAUGAAAUAGUGUUGUACGACUGUUUAAUUAAAACACAGCACUCUGCUGAAAGAUUAAAAAUCUAAGUAUAGAGUGUGAUGUCUGCCCGGUGCCGGCUGGUUAACGGAUAUAAUUGGAUAUACUAAUAUCUGAUGUUGAAGGAAACCCCGGUUAAAGGCGGCCUUAACGUGAGGGUCCUAAGGUAGCGAAAUGCCUUGGCCGUUAAAUGCGGUCUUGCAUGAAUGAUGUAACGAUACAACAGCUGUCUCUAUGAUUGACUCAGUGAAAUUGGAAUAGCUGUGCAGAUACAGUUUACCUCUAGUUAGACGAGAAGACCCUAUGCAGCUUUACUGUCACUAAUUAUAGAGUAUGAUAAAUAAUUUUCAGAAUAUAAGGUAAUAGAUGAUAUAACAAUGAGAAUCCUUUAUUUCUUUUUCAUAUGAAUGAAUUGGUUUAGGAUUACUAUGAACAACUUGUUUGCUUCAUAGUAAUAGUAAAUCAGCCUAAUUCAGCUUAUUAAUUAAUAAGUACCCUUUGGUAAGGAACUAUCGCUAGGGGACAGUUUAUGUGGGGCACAGACCCUGUAAAGAGUAAACAGGAGUGUCUAAUAAUUUAUAAUUAUUUUGUUUGCGAUUUAAAAUAGUUUAACUAUUUUUAAUCAUAUAAAAUUAUUUAUAUUUACAUUAUCGGCUUAUUGCCUCUACGGGGGCAAUAAAAAGAGCAUGUAUAUAUAUUUAAGAUUAGGUAGGAUUUUCACUAUAUAGAAAUUAGAGAUAAUUAAAAAUAUUAUGUGCUGCCUCCUAUUUUAGGACGAAUACAGUACUAAUAUUUUUUAAUAAUUAGGCUUAUUUCAUAGCCCGAAGGGCUAGCAAGCACUAAUUGUUAUGUUUUAAAUAUCUAAAAAGCUCAACGGCUUAAUCCUGCCUUACUGUUUGAUUAUCAACAAAUCUUACAGUUGCGUAAGCAGGGCAUAGGAUCACAAGAUGCAAUAAGGAAAGAUCUUGGAUUAUUGGAAAAGCUACGCUAGGGAUGUUUGUCCUUUAAUAUUUUAAAUACUAUUACAGCUGGCUUUGUUUGCUUUAAGUAGCACUUAUAAAGUUAAGCUAGUACGGUAUUAUAAUAUAAUUAAUAAUAUAUUGGGUUAAUUUCAAAGAUUACUAGGCUGCGUAUUAUGUAGUUAUAGUAAAUUUGAAGCGAAAUUUAUCUUAGCAUAAAUAAUAAGAUAAAGACGUU